GCUCUCACCCCUCCCCCUCUCACCCCUCCCCCUCACUACUAACAAAGACAACGGCGCUCAUGUACUUACAGAUGCAUUAUGCCAUAGCGGACAACAGCACUAACAGAUGUCUGACAGCGACAUCGAUCAACAGUUCUUCUUGACUCCUCUGCAGGGUAUCUUUGCUCAGCUGUGUGUGUGUGUGUGUGUGUGUGUGUGUGUGUGUGUGUGUGUGUGUUUGAUUACGUGAAGUGUAGGCAUCGUAAGUUUUUUAGGGGGGAAAAUGCAAAUAAAGAGAAGUAAAGGUUUUAUAUUUUUUCUCCGUGGAGAGCUCUCAUUGUGUAAAAAAAAUGUGUAUUUUUCUUUAUAUUUGAAACGGUUUGGGAGUACAUAUUAUAUUUUUUUGUACAUAGUGUGGAGGUAUGGCUGUUUACAGUCUAGGCCUAUUGAAUUACCUAAAUGUAUAUAUAGGUUAGGCCUUUUAUAUGUCUUAAGCUUAGAAAAUAAAACGGGUUUAGACUACUACUGUGUAUUGUUAAGUAUAAACAUAUAUAUACAAUGUUCUAUUUUCUAAUCUGGAAUUUAGUCUUUUAUAUUACAUAAAUAUAGAAACAGGGAUCAAUUCUGAUGUUACAUCGAGCAAAUAUCAAUAAUAAUUCAACAUAUCCAAACAAUUUUUGUGUCAUUAACAUACAGUGAGUAUGCUCAUUAUAUAUGUGCAUAUAUUUUGAUGCAAAUGUAGUGUUCAUCGCAUCAGACAAAAGUGUGUAGAACAGUGUUCACAAUUGUCAAGAAUUACGAAUGAUUGCCUUAUCAGAGUAACCGCAAAAUCGUCACCAUAACAUAAAUAUAACAUAAUGUUCUGACAUCGGCAACUUGCGGCAGCAGGGAAGUUUGUUUGGGUGGAAUCGCCAAACGUCCGGGCCAGUGACGUCACCACCUCACCCCGCUCGCUGAUUGGCCUGUUUGUAACGUCAAGAUGAGUGACGUAAUCUUCCCAUCCCGCUCGCUGAUUGGUCAGUUUGUAAAUCAAGAUGGCGGGCGGGAGAGAGCUGCUGCAUCGAUUCGAUUUUCGAGAUUUCAAGACAUCACACCAGGUUCCUUAGACACACAAGACGGCGUGUAUGUAUGAUGUAAUGAUAUUUGUUAUUUUUCUUGUAUUCUAAUAAAAGGUGAAAAUGUU
This 1162-nucleotide long non-coding RNA is filed under the name Penaeus japonicus. Its description in RNAcentral is "uncharacterized LOC122251580". The record is from RNAcentral. Lineage: Eukaryota; Metazoa; Arthropoda; Malacostraca; Decapoda; Penaeidae.